RNAcentral lists this ribosomal RNA (439 nucleotides) under uncultured bacterium. RNAcentral describes it as "bacterial SSU rRNA". It matches the Rfam family "Bacterial small subunit ribosomal RNA", at positions 355 to 793 of the family's 1533-position model. The record is from RNAcentral.
UCGAGAAUCAUUGUCAAUGGACGCAAGUCUGAACGUGCGACGCCGCGUGUGGGAUGAAGGCCCUUGGGUUGUAAACCACUGUCAGGGGAAGGAAUAAGCGUGUAACCCACGCGAUGACUUAUACCCCAGAGGAAGUGACGGCUAACUACGUGCCAGCAGCUGCGGUAAUACGUAGGUCACGAACGUUAUUCGGAAUCACUGGGCUUAAAGGGCGCGUAGGCGGUUUGAUAAGUUACGGUUGAAAUCCGGCGGCUCACCCGUCGAACUGGCCGUGAUACUGUCGAACUGGAGGUGCGGAGGGAUGCGUGGAACUUGUGGUGGAGCGGUGAAAUGCCCAGAUAUCACAGGGAACACCGGUGGCGAAGGCGACGCAUUGGCCGCAAUCUGACGCUGAGGCGCGAAAGCAUGGGGAGCGAACGGGGGUUAGAAACCCCAGUAG